GAUGAACGCUGGCGGCGUGCCUAAUACAUGCAAGUCGAGCGAACAGAUGAGGAGCUUGCUCCUCUGACGUUAGCGGCGGACGGGUGAGUAACACGUGGAUAACCUACCUAUAAGACUGGGAUAACUUCGGGAAACCGGAGCUAGUACCGGAUAAUAUAUUGAACGGCAUGGUUCAAUAGUGAAAGACGGUUUUGCUGUCACUUAUAGAUGGAUCCGCGCCGCAUUAGCUAGUUGGUAAGGUAACGGCUUACCAAGGCAACGAUGCGUAGCCGACCUGAGAGGGUGAUCGGCCACACUGGAACUGAGACACGGUCCAGACUCCUACGGGAGGCAGCAGUAGGGAAUCUUCCGCAAUGGGCGAAAGCCUGACGGAGCAACGCCGCGUGAGUGAUGAAGGUCUUCGGAUCGUAAAACUCUGUUAUUAGGGAAGAACAAAUGUGUAAGUAACUAUGCACGUCUUGACGGUACCUAAUCAGAAAGCCACGGCUAACUACGUG
Molecule: ribosomal RNA, 497 nt
Filed under: uncultured bacterium
Lineage: Bacteria
Description: partial 16S ribosomal RNA
Rfam family: Bacterial small subunit ribosomal RNA
Source: RNAcentral